Molecule: long non-coding RNA, 972 nt
Organism: Hippopotamus amphibius kiboko
Lineage: Eukaryota; Metazoa; Chordata; Mammalia; Artiodactyla; Hippopotamidae
Exons: 4
Source: RefSeq, a predicted model, not a curated record
AGACAAGACACACAGCAGUCACAGAGCUGCAAGUUCAACAGGUACAUAGUCUGCCUCCAAGACAUCACAGGGAAACACCUCUUCACUGCUACAACCAUCAAUAUCACCUUCUGUGGAAGAGUUUCCUCCAACCUUUCCUGCUCCCUUAGCCAAAUGGAUGGAAAUAGGAGAAAAUGCACAACAACAUAAAAGGAUCCUAUCCAGGACACCACAUUACAUUUAAUCACCAUGUCUCUUUAGCCUCAUCUGGUCUGUGUCAGUUUCUUAGAGCAUCCUUGUUUUUUUAUGACCUUGAUAGCUUUGAAGAACCCUGGCCAGGUAUCUUGUAGAAUCUUCCUCAAUUUGAGUUUGUCUCAUGUUUUUCUCAUGAUUAUACUAAGGUUAUGAGUUUUAGGGAAGAAUACCACAGAGGUGAAGUACCAUUCUUAUCUGCCCUUAUCAAAGGUACAUACUCAGUAUUUAACACUGUUGAUGCUAAUCUUGAUUACUUGGCCUGGAGGUAGUGUUUGUCAGUUUUCUUUACUGUAAAUCACUCCCUCAUUCCAACGCUAUACUCUUUGGAAGAAAGUCCCAAAGACAUCACUAUGCUAAACUCAUAGCAGUGAAAUCACUGGGUCAAAAGUACAUCCUGUAACAUUUUGAUAGAUAUUGACAAACUGCAAUUCAAAAAGGUUACUGCAACAUAUACUGCCACCGACAACGUAUGAGAAUGUCUUUUCUCCACACAAUUGACAAUAAAGUGUAUUAUUAAGCUUUAUUUUUGCCAAUCAGAUAGGUGAAAAAAGGUACCUCAAUGUUUAAAUGUUCAUGAGUUUAAUUAUGAGUGAUAUCAAUUGUAUUUUCAUAUAUUUAUAAGUAUUUAGAACUUUUGUAUGUGUAUAAACUGCCUAGUCAUACCAUUUGUCCUUUCUUUUCUAUUGGGUUAUCAGUAUUUUUCUUAUUGGUUUGUAAGAGCUCUUUAUAUAUUAAGAA